CCGUCCAGCUCUCGCUUGUCCAGCGCAGGCCGCGGGAGCUGCCGAGCCUUGGCGAGAAGGGCGGCCUCGGGCGUUUUGUGGACGCGCUCGGCGCUUUCUCCUUGGUUCGGCGCUUACCUCGGACGGCCACCAGCUCGGUUCCCUGAGAGACCCCGGGGAGACUGCGGACGGUGUCGGGAUCCCGGCCCCCGCCUCCCGCAAACGGCGUCCUCCCCGCUCCUCGCUCUGCGCGAAUCCUGCGGGAAGCUCCGAUCUCAGGCAACUGGAUUUUGCUUUUGUGGUUUUUUGUUUGUUUUGUUUGUUUUUUAGCUCACCAGCUUAACCUCGCAGCACUGCCCUUUUAUGAGACUGUAAGACAUCUAAUUAUGUGAUUCUUGCUUAUUUUUACUUUUUUUUUUUUGUCAUUUCUGGAAUACGGCAGUAGUGUCCUUCCUGCAUGGGGGGUGUGUACACAUGCACGCAUACAUAGAGUUCCUGUAUGCACUGCACUCCAGCAAUCGGAUUAAUAAAUUAUUCAUGAACAGAUUUGACAGGAUUAUUAACAAUUUUAUAUGCCGCUGCAAAUAAAGCCAACUGCCAUACACAUUUUGUGCUACUCACCACAUCUAUGG
RNAcentral lists this long non-coding RNA (611 nucleotides) under Homo sapiens (human). Its description in RNAcentral is "non-protein coding lnc-EBLN1-5:3". Lineage: Eukaryota; Metazoa; Chordata; Mammalia; Primates; Hominidae. The record is from RNAcentral.